GUGCUCGCUUCAGCAGCACAUAUUCUAAAAUUGGAAGGAUACAGAGAAGAUUAGCACGGUCCCUAAGCAAAGAUGACACGCAAAUUUGUGAAGUGUGCCAUAUUUUU
Small nuclear RNA from Erinaceus europaeus (western European hedgehog), 107 nucleotides. The record is from Ensembl. NCBI's taxonomy places the organism in Eukaryota, Metazoa, Chordata, Mammalia, Eulipotyphla, Erinaceidae.